AGUCAAAUAAUUAUAUUGUACUGUAUAGCCCCAGCAAUAAUACACAGGAUUGGAAUUGGGAGCUCUUUUAAGUUUUGUGUGGAUUAUAUAAUUACAUCAUGGUCGAGAUAUUCUGCAGAACGAACGAAUCUUUUUUCUCCAGGGAUCUGCACAGUCCCUUGGGCAGAUGUUGAGCUUCUCCUAAGCAAUGGGAAAAUUGAGCCUGAAACUGCAGCUGUCACGUGUUUUCCUCGACGCUUGCGUUGGCGAGGAGAAGCUACGCCGAGAACUCCGCGAGAGAAGGGCUUACGGUUACCAGGGCUCGAUACAUUACCGUAUCGUUCCCCUCCACGGCCAAUGCUGGUCCCCAUUCCCGACGCCCUGGGAUGGACGGGCACAGCGUGGUGUGCGGCGAUAUCGAACAGUUCCAAGAAGUAGUAGUAGCCCCAACCGGACCUCUCCAUGAACGAGGUUCCAAUUCCAAUGAAGUAGCCUCCGACGGAAGAAGAACCUUCGAGAGGCGUCAGACCAUUCCGAAAUAUGUAUGGCACCGGAGGGACCUCACCCCAGGGACGAAUUGGCCAGAGAAAAUAUCUGUAUUUAUGUAUUCGGUCGAUGGGCGGAAGGAGCACUGGACGGGGCCCUGUUGCCACAGCAUAAUUGCCACAUGAUUAAUUCUGAAGUCAGACGGAGACCAGGACCAAGACCAAGACCAAGACCAAGACCAAGAUAAAUGCUAAUAGAUAUACAUUUAUGAGGCUGAAGGCGGGGACGGGGCGCAGGCGAUGGCGAUGGCGACCGUUUCCAGGACGCUGGGCAAAUGUUGUGCAUAGCUGAGGAAGGCGGUUGGUGCUUCGGUCAUUUAUCAUUUCGGACAACAGGCGGCGGCAACAACAACAAAAACAACAACAACAACAACAACAAUUACCACGAAUAUAAGUGACAAUUUUCAUACAUUUCCAUGGGCCACACGGCGUAUGAGCGAUGACGACAAUUUUGGCGAGCUCUAGAAGAGGAUUACCAGCGAUGACGAGGACGAGGACGAGGAGCCAGUUCCGUGUCCAACAAAUCGAUAAGUGUUCGAGUCUUCUGCGGGGACGCACAAAAACUUGUUCCGGAGUCCAGAGUCCCCGCCUCCGCCUCCGCCUCCGCCAUAAAGACAUCGGCUUGGACACUUGGAGCUGCUGCCGCCCGUAUACUCGUAUGAGCCGGUAUUAUGCGUCGAAAAUGUGCAGCUGCCAACUGAAUAAAGCCCUGGCCCACCCAGACCCGCACUCCCGCCCACAUAAAGAACCAGCCAGGGACAGGGACAGAGGCAGGGCCAGGGAUGGGACUUCCGGUGGGAGAGCAGCAGAACCUCCUCCUCCUCCUCUUCCUCCUCGACUGCAUGCAAGAAGUCGAGCAAAAAGAGCGAAGAGCAACGGGCCAACGGGCCAACGAGGCACACACUCGGGCGACCGGCAUUUAUGUAAAUUACAAAUUAUUUCGGCUGUAAAAAUUCA
Drosophila pseudoobscura is the source of this 1481-nucleotide long non-coding RNA. RefSeq lists it as uncharacterized. The record is from RefSeq and is a predicted model, not a curated record. The transcript has 3 exons. NCBI's taxonomy places the organism in Eukaryota, Metazoa, Arthropoda, Insecta, Diptera, Drosophilidae.